Long non-coding RNA from Rosa chinensis, 649 nucleotides. RefSeq lists it as uncharacterized. NCBI's taxonomy places the organism in Eukaryota, Viridiplantae, Streptophyta, Magnoliopsida, Rosales, Rosaceae. The transcript has 6 exons. The record is from RefSeq and is a predicted model, not a curated record.
UUUGCAUGAAACUGAAACUCCAAAGAGACCAGGUCGAGUGUGAUUAUCCGUAGGCAGACUUGAUAAGCUCCACUUCUUUCGAAGGAUAACAUCUUGGCGUGAUCAGAUUGUGAUAGAGAUGACAUUCAAGAUGAAGCCUCGUUCUUAUAGUUCAAUUUGGAGAGGGAGUCUGGGUCUCCCGUUCUGUAUAAAUAAGAGCACCCUUCACUUUGAUUCUGCAUUCUCCAUCAAGAACGCGCAUUGGGCAUACCGAGCUGAACUAGACGUGGCUUCUCCUCACGGUUUUUUGACAUCUCUCCACCGCCAAGCUUCGUAGCUACUUGAAAAGACCUCUGCUUCUACACAGUUUUGAAGAAGAGCAUCGCAGACACCAUUUGAACCAUCACUCGACAGAGGUAACAAGAAUCAUACGGCUCCCAUCUCUCUUGCGUUUUUGUGGCUGUAACUUAGUGAUCGAAGGUGAGCUGAGUGAAUGCUGCAAACUCUCUGAUCAAGGGUGGAGUGAUUUCUUCCUUUGGUGUUGAAACUCUGCACGGGGAUCAUCUUGGAGCAGCUUCCCCACUAUUGUGAACCCAAGAACUUUGCAGAUUUGUCCUUGGCGUGAACCAACAGCCCGAGGCUUUCACUUGACACUCAUCUUUGCCACCCA